This is a non-coding RNA of Ictidomys tridecemlineatus (thirteen-lined ground squirrel), 222 nucleotides long. NCBI's taxonomy places the organism in Eukaryota, Metazoa, Chordata, Mammalia, Rodentia, Sciuridae. The record is from RefSeq and is a predicted model, not a curated record.
UUUAGGUCAUAAUGUGUUUGAUGUUUUAUAGCAAAAUGACAAAUAUCUUUCUCAACAGCUAAGUACAAAGAGCCAUCAGAAUAAAUCCAACCAAACUGCCCACUACAGGAGGACCUGGGAUGGUGAUGCUGGACUCAAACAGAAGCUGCUAUCCUGGUACACUCCUCAGCUCUGCAGAGGCCACAACUAUGGUGACAACAAUAAAAGUCUGGUUUAUGGGUU